GCUCCCUGAUGUUAGCGGCGGACGGGUGAGUAACACGUGGGUAACCUGCCUGUAAGACUGGGAUAACUCCGGGAAACCGGGGCUAAUACCGGAUGCUUGUUUGAACCGCAUGGUUCAAACAUAAAAGGUGGCUUCGGCUACCACUUACAGAUGGACCCGCGGCGCAUUAGCUAGUUGGUGAGGUAACGGCUCACCAAGGCAACGAUGCGUAGCCGACCUGAGAGGGUGAUCGGCCACACUGGGACUGAGACACGGCCCAGACUCCUACGGGAGGCAGCAGUAGGGAAUCUUCCGCAAUGGACGAAAGUCUGACGGAGCAACGCCGCGUGAGUGAUGAAGGUUUUCGGAUCGUAAAGCUCUGUUGUUAGGGAAGAACAAGUACCGUUCGAAUAGGGCGGUACCUUGACGGUACCUAACCAGAAAGCCACGGCUAACUACGUGCCAGCAGCCGCGGUAAUACGUAGGUGGCAAGCGUUGUCCGGAAUUAUUGGGCGUAAAGGGCUCGCAGGCGGUUCCUUAAGUCUGAUGUGAAAGCCCCCGGCUCAACCGGGGAGGGUCAUUGGAAACUGGGGAACUUGAGUGCAGAAGAGGAGAGUGGAAUUCCACGUGUAGCGGUGAAAUGCGUAGAGAUGUGGAGGAACACCAGUGGCGAAGGCGACUCUCUGGUCUGUAACUGACGCUGAGGAGCGAAAGCGUGGGGAGCGAACAGGAUUAGAUACCCUGGUAGUCCACGCCGUAAACGAUGAGUGCU
Molecule: ribosomal RNA, 751 nt
Filed under: Bacillus halotolerans
Lineage: Bacteria; Bacillati; Bacillota; Bacilli; Caryophanales; Bacillaceae
Description: bacterial SSU rRNA
Rfam family: Bacterial small subunit ribosomal RNA
Source: RNAcentral